Molecule: ribosomal RNA, 424 nt
Filed under: Verrucomicrobiota bacterium
Lineage: Bacteria; Pseudomonadati; Verrucomicrobiota
Description: Verrucomicrobia bacterium partial 16S ribosomal RNA
Rfam family: Bacterial small subunit ribosomal RNA
Source: RNAcentral
UGAGGAAUAUUGGUCAAUGGACGCAAGUCUGAACCAGCCAAGUAGCGUGCAGGAUGACGGCCCUAUGGGUUGUAAACUGCUUUUAUAUGGGGAUAAAGUGGGGAACGUGUUCCCUUUUGCAGGUACCAUAUGAAUAAGGACCGGCUAAUUCCGUGCCAGCAGCCGCGGUAAUACGGAAGGUUCGGGCGUUAUCCGGAUUUAUUGGGUUUAAAGGGAGCGUAGGCCGUUUGGUAAGCGUGUUGUGAAAUGUAGGAGCUCAACUUUUAGAUUGCAGCGCGAACUGGCAGACUUGAGUGCGCACAACGUAGGCGGAAUUCAUGGUGUAGCGGUGAAAUGCUUAGAUAUCAUGACGAACUCCGAUUGCGAAGGCAGCUUACGGGAGCGCAACUGACGCUAAAGCUCGAAGGUGCGGGUAUCGAACAGG